UUUUUUUUUUUUUUUUUUUUUUUUCUUCAGACGAACGCUGGCGGCGUGCCUAAUACAUGCAAGUCGAGCGGACAGAUGGGAGCUUGCUCCCUGAUGUUAGCGGCGGACGGGUGAGUAACACGUGGGUAACCUGCCUGUAAGACUGGGAUAACUCCGGGAAACCGGGGCUAAUACCGGAUGCUUGAUUGAACCGCAUGGUUCAAUUAUAAAAGGUGGCUUUUAGCUACCACUUACAGAUGGACCCGCGGCGCAUUAGCUAGUUGGUGAGGUAACGGCUCACCAAGGCAACGAUGCGUAGCCGACCUGAGAGGGUGAUCGGCCACACUGGGACUGAGACACGGCCCAGACUCCUACGGGAGGCAGCAGUAGGGAAUCUUCCGCAAUGGACGAAAGUCUGACGGAGCAACGCCGCGUGAGUGAUGAAGGUUUUCGGAUCGUAAAACUCUGUUGUUAGGGAAGAACAAGUACCGUUCGAAUAGGGCGGUACCUUGACGGUACCUAACCAGAAAGCCACGGCUAACUACGUGCCAGCAGCCGCGGUAAUACGUAGGUGGCAAGCGUUGUCCGGAAUUAUUGGGCGUAAAGCGCGCGCAGGCGGUUUCUUAAGUCUGAUGUGAAAGCCCCCGGCUCAACCGGGGAGGGUCAUUGGAAACUGGGGAACUUGAGUGCAGAAGAGGAGAGUGGAAUUCCACGUGUAGCGGUGAAAUGCGUAGAGAUGUGGAGGAACACCAGUGGCGAAGGCGACUCUCUGGUCUGUAACUGACGCUGAGGCGCGAAAGCGUGGGGAGCGAACAGGAUUAGAUACCCUGGUAGUCCACGCCGUAAACGAUGAGUGCUAAGUGUUAGAGGGUUUCCGCCCUUUAGUGCUGCAGCAAACGCAUUAAGCACUCCGCCUGGAGACUUAGUU
This 907-nucleotide ribosomal RNA is filed under the name Bacillus paralicheniformis. RNAcentral's name for it is "bacterial SSU rRNA". It matches the Rfam family "Bacterial small subunit ribosomal RNA", at positions 1 to 886 of the family's 1533-position model. The record is from RNAcentral. Lineage: Bacteria; Bacillati; Bacillota; Bacilli; Caryophanales; Bacillaceae.